GAUGAACGCUGGCGGCGUGCCUAAUACAUGCAAGUCGAGCGAACAGAUGAGGAGCUUGCUCCUCUGACGUUAGCGGCGGACGGGUGAGUAACACGUGGAUAACCUACCUAUAAGACUGGGAUAACUUCGGGAAACCGGAGCUAAUACCGGAUAAUAUAUUGAACCGCAUGGUUCAAUAGUGAAAGACGGUUUUGCUGUCACUUAUAGAUGGAUUCGCGCCGCAUUAGCUAGUUGGUAAGGUAACGGCUUACCAAGGCAACGAUGCGUAGCCGACCUGAGAGGGUGAUCGGCCACACUGGAACUGAGACACGGUCCAGACUCCUACGGGAGGCAGCAGUAGGGAAUAUUCCGCAAUGGUCGAAAGCCUGACGGAGCAACGCCGCGUGAGUGAUGAAGGUCUUCGGAUCGUAAAACUCUGUUAUUAGGGAAGAACAAAUGUGUAAGUAACUAUGCACGUCUUGACGGUACCUAAUCAGAAAGCCACGGCUAACUACGUG
RNAcentral lists this ribosomal RNA (497 nucleotides) under uncultured bacterium. RNAcentral's name for it is "partial 16S ribosomal RNA". It matches the Rfam family "Bacterial small subunit ribosomal RNA", at positions 28 to 507 of the family's 1533-position model. The record is from RNAcentral.